This 450-nucleotide ribosomal RNA is filed under the name uncultured bacterium. RNAcentral describes it as "partial 16S ribosomal RNA". It matches the Rfam family "Bacterial small subunit ribosomal RNA", at positions 29 to 523 of the family's 1533-position model. The record is from RNAcentral.
AACGAACGCUGGCGGCAUGCCUAACACAUGCAAGUCGAACGAGACCUUCGGGUCUAGUGGCGCACGGGUGCGUAACGCGUGGGAAUCUGCCCUUGGCUUCGGAAUAACAGUUAGAAAUGACUGCUAAUACCGGAUGAUGUCUUCGGACCAAAGAUUUAUCGGCCAGGGAUGAGCCCGCGUAGGAUUAGGUAGUUGGUGGGGUAAAGGCCUACCAAGCCGACGAUCCUUAGCUGGUCUGAGAGGAUGAACAGCCACACUGGGACUGAGACACGGCCCAGACUCCUACGGGAGGCAGCAGUGGGGAAUAUUGGACAAUGGGCGCAAGCCUGAUCCAGCAAUGCCGCGUGAGUGAUGAAGGCCUUCGGGUCGUAAAGCUCUUUUACCCGGGAUGAUAAUGACAGUACCGGGAGAAUAAGCUCCGGCUAACUCCGUGCCAGCCGCCGCAGGUAA